GCACUCGCUUCAGCAGAACACAUAAUAAAACUGGAACGAUGUCGAGAAGAUUAGCAUGGGCCCUGUGCAAGAAUGACACACAAAUUUGUGAAGUGUUCCAAAUUAAA
Molecule: small nuclear RNA, 107 nt
Organism: Ochotona curzoniae (black-lipped pika)
Lineage: Eukaryota; Metazoa; Chordata; Mammalia; Lagomorpha; Ochotonidae
Source: RefSeq, a predicted model, not a curated record